Long non-coding RNA from Oncorhynchus masou masou (cherry salmon), 885 nucleotides. RefSeq lists it as uncharacterized. The transcript is spliced from 3 exons. The record is from RefSeq and is a predicted model, not a curated record. NCBI's taxonomy places the organism in Eukaryota, Metazoa, Chordata, Actinopteri, Salmoniformes, Salmonidae.
UCCAUGAGUUCAUCUGACUCUGGGUAAGUAGAACAAAAAUGGAAUUGCCAAGAUGUCGCACGAUCCUAUCAUAGGGUGUAAUGUAUAGAGGGUAUAAACCUGAUGCCAGUGUCACUGGUGUGUUUUAGGGUUCUUUAUAUUUCUGUUCCAUUGUCUGAUGAAGGAGAAUGUGAGAAAACAAUGGAGAAUCCAUUUGUGCUUUGGCCGCUUCAGACUCCAAGACUACUCUGAGUGGAGCCAGACUUUUACAGUUGGUGCCAAAUCCAGACCUAACCCUCUGGUGCGCAUGCCCUCAGUGAGGUCCAUCAAGUCCAGUGCCACAGAAAGCACCUCGGCCUCCUCCGACUCCAGUCAACGACAGGUCUCCAUCAGAAGACCUAACUUGGACCUUGUGUAUGAGAAUGACUUGGCACUACCACUUGUCCAACGCAACUCCACUCCUCUACCUCACAAGAGUGCCUCUUUCCCAGAGGAGGGGCACUGCGAGGGGCCCUCUUGGCAAGACGGAUCUCACCCAAGACAUCGGCUACCCAUUCCUUAAGACCUUUGAAAUUCGGCAAGGAGGAACACAUUCAUUUGUGCUAAAUGGAUGAAUAGAGAAACAAAGAUUGUAACUUGUGCAAUCUGAAAUAUCAGACAAGGCUUGGUUCUGUGUAACAUGGCAUCUUUCGCUUUGACCUCAAUCUGGGACAUGAAUGCACUUGUAUGGUAAAGCAACAUUUAGGACAUAAUAUGAAUGGUGUUUUUAAUUUCUACUUACUUUUGGAGCUAAUUAAAAUGAAGUUCUUUGUGAUGAUAUAUCUGAUGAAUAAUGUCCUGUCCAUCUUCACUGAUCUAUUUAUUGUACUGAAGGUGUGACAAAUUAGACUAGUAUGCAUGUGUGCA